UGGGGAAUUUUGGACAAUGGGCGAAAGCCUGAUCCAGCCAUGCCGCGUGUGUGAAGAAGGUCUUCGGAUUGUAAAGCACUUUAAGUUGGGAGGAAGGGCAGUUACCUAAUACGUAUCUGUUUUGACGUUACCGACAGAAUAAGCACCGGCUAACUCUGUGCCAGCAGCCGCGGUAAUACAGAGGGUGCAAGCGUUAAUCGGAAUUACUGGGCGUAAAGCGCGCGUAGGUGGUUUGUUAAGUUGGAUGUGAAAUCCCCGGGCUCAACCUGGGAACUGCAUUCAAAACUGACAAGCUAGAGUAUGGUAGAGGGUGGUGGAAUUUCCUGUGUAGCGGUGAAAUGCGUAGAUAUAGGAAGGAACACCAGUGGCGAAGGCGACCACCUGGACUGAUACUGACACUGAGGCACGAAAGCGUGGGGAGCAAACAGGAUUAGAUACCCCAGUAGUCCCUGAGCGGGCUGGCAAGGCGCAU
Molecule: ribosomal RNA, 472 nt
Filed under: uncultured bacterium
Lineage: Bacteria
Description: bacterial SSU rRNA
Rfam family: Bacterial small subunit ribosomal RNA
Source: RNAcentral